AUGUGUCUAGUCAAUUUCACAUGUGCGUCCUUUGUAAUGAUGCGACGACAAAGGCGAUCUUGUUGUCACAUCAAAGGUAUCCAGUACCUAACUACCCAAUCCAUACAAUCCAAGUGGCUGGUCUUGAGCAUUCCACUUGUCCUUUUCUCUACUGCUAUGUUGAAACUUUGCACCAGAAUUGCUGACCAGGAAAACGUGAUGACCAGAAGCAUCUCAAAAUCUAAUCAAUUUGGUUUCUGCGAAGAAACGUCGAACUUUUGGAGUAGAUCGCUAUAUAAAAAGUCCCCUUUUGUAAUCUUCUCCCCGUAA
This 309-nucleotide ribosomal RNA is filed under the name Triticum aestivum (bread wheat). RNAcentral describes it as "partial small subunit ribosomal RNA". Lineage: Eukaryota; Viridiplantae; Streptophyta; Magnoliopsida; Poales; Poaceae. The record is from RNAcentral.